UGCCCCUGUGUGCCCCCCCGAUGCUCUUCUCCAUUCCUCUAGGUACCCACUGUCCUCAGUUGAUAUGUUCUUCCUGCUCAUAUUUUAAUACAUAAAUUACAUAUGGAUGUAUUUAUAAUCUCUCUUUGCCUUCACGAAUUUUAAAAAAUUAAUGUGAUAUUGUGCUGUAAAUAUUCUGCAACUUGCUUUGUAAUAUUCAAACGUUAUGUUUUAGUAAUUUAUCCGUGCUGAUAACACAGCUCAAGUGCGUUCAUUUUAACUGCUGUGUAGUAUUCCAGCCUCUGAAUACAUCACAAUUUGCCUCUGUGUUUCUCAAUUGAGAGAUGUUCAGGUUGUUGAUACUUUUUUUUCUGAUGACAAAUGAUUCAUCUUUAUACUUUUCUCCUUGGGCACAUAUAGGGGACAUUUGUAUAUCUUCAGUCUUUACCAUAUACUGACAAAUGGCUUUCUAAAGAGGCUAUCUUGUGACGUGGCAGGAAACUUCUAGAGUUGGGAGUCAGGUGACCCAGUUCUGGUCUAACUCUGGCACUGAUUCACAAUGUAAACUUAGGCUCCCCUUCCUUGGACUCAGUUUCUCCAUCUUUAGGAUGAAGGUCAGGACUAGCAGAUGUCCACAGUUCCUUCCUCCUGAGCUGGUUAAAACAAUGUUUUGCAGAAAGAUCUUCUCUUCUAGAAAUAAAAGAAAUCUCCGGAGGCAGGCUUGCUGUAAGCUCCAGAGGAGCGUUAAUGUGGAAGGCAGCUGACACUUUUUGAGCUCCUACCAAGGGUUGGGCACUUUCGUUUCUCAUUUACCUCACACAGGAGAUUAAACAGCUUGCCCGAGAUCACAGAGCGAGGAAGUGUCAGAACCGGGCCUCCAAUCCAGGACUGAGGGAUUCCAGAGCCUGACUCCUGUCUACCGUACAAGCUGCUCUUGCUUUGUCACAAGGCAAGUUCUUACUUGACACCCCCAUCUGGGCUGUUGAAAUGGCAUUCUCCUUGGGAGUCUCCAUGCGCAGGCCAUUGAUGCCAAGGGCCCCUACCCCAGGCAGAGACUGCAGCCCAGGCCCUGCCCCAGGAGUGCAGUGUGAGGAGGGGCUGAGAAAGAGCCCUUCUUUGGAAGGAAGAUAAGGAACAAGUGGGACUGAGUCAGGGACUGGGGCUAUCCCAAAAGCAUGCACUCUAAAGGCAUUUAUCCUCUGACCACAGCUAAUGAACCAAUGAGGAAUCAGCAUCAAUAAGAAGCAAAUUAAACACCAGCUCCAGCUAAUUAGUAAGCACAGCUGCCUGCUUUCCUGCAUUCAAUUUCAGACUCACAUUAUGAAUUGCCUCCCUGGAGAAACCGACCCCCUCCUCCCCAAAAAAGGCCUUGAUUCAAUAAACCAACUUUUAAUGGAGCAGCAUCUUUCAAUCGAAGGACGGCAACUUAUCUCUGGGUCCUCGCUCUGCGGUGACACCAAUUCUCCAAGCUGCCCAAUCUCACUCAAGAUGUUUCACGGUGAGUGUGGAUUAUUAUUUGUAAUUCAAAUGAGCAAUACAUAAGAAGAAAGAAAAGACCCCAGAGUGUAACCACCAAAAUGAGUAUUGAUCCCUUCGGGAGACCGUGUCCACAUUCCAGUCUGUCUGUUCCCAGUGUUCGGACUCUCCCGGGAACAGCCUUCAGUGGCAGUUAACAGCAUAAGAAAUUUUUCUCUUUCUUGUCUUUAUCCUUUAAAAUUACUUUUACAAAAACAUUAACAGGAAGUGGGAUUGCCCACCUUGGUCCUUCCCUGACUCUGAAUGUCUUUUUACUAUUUUCAAAAAUCCAUCCCCCGGUGCCAACCCCUGACUUGAAGGCCAAACACGUUGUCCCUGAAGAUAUUGUGGGGACACACAAUAGGCUCUCUGGAUUCAGUGUCCCUAUCUGUGUUGGAGGAGGUUGGAUGAAGUGGCCUCAGUGUCUGGCUAGUGUUUUAGGAUUCCGAGGCUGCUGGCACCGAGUUCCAAUUCUUGGCACACUCUGGACAGCUGAAGGAUCAGAGAAACCCGUCCACGGUCCUCAGCCUGGUCUUCAACAGCCCUUCCAACCUCCCCUCGCAUCCCCCAUACUCCAGGGUGAGCCGCCCAGCUGGGUGAAUGUGCCCCUGUGUCUAUGCCACCCCCCUCCAUGUGCUUAAACUGCCCAAGCUUUAAGGUUCUACACUGAUUCUUUUAUGAUCUUCUCUGAUCAACUAGUUUGGAUUCUUGUUGCAUUUUCUCUAUAGAUCGUAUGGUGUAUAGAAUCCAAAACAGCCAGCUUUGCUCUGCUUCCACUAUGAUCAAGCACUUCACAUUCCACAUCAGCUGGACAAAAGACACUGAACCGACACAGCGACAGACUCAUAAACGCUGAAAGAAACCCAAAAUAUCAGGGUCCCCCGUAUAAUAAAUCCUUGAAUACUUCCCUUAAACCGGGACUCUCAACAAAGACGAUUUUAUCCUUGAUUCUUGCUGUGACGAUCUCUGAAGG
This 2467-nucleotide long non-coding RNA is filed under the name Equus caballus (horse). RNAcentral's name for it is "lncRNA (ENSECAG00000036172.2)". Lineage: Eukaryota; Metazoa; Chordata; Mammalia; Perissodactyla; Equidae. The record is from RNAcentral.